UACGUAGGUCGCAAGCGUUGUCCGGAUUUACUGGGCGUAAAGAGCGCGCAGGCGGCUGGUCAAGUCCGAUGUGAAAUCUCCCGGCUCAACCGGGAAACUGCAUCGGAAACUGAUCGGCUUGAAGAUGGGAGAGGGUAGUGGAAUUCCCGGUGUAGUGGUGAAAUGCGUAGAUAUCGGGAGGAACACCAGUGGCGAAGGCGACUACCUGGCCUGUUUCUUGACGCUGAGGCGCGAAAGCUAGGGGAGCAAACGGG
RNAcentral lists this ribosomal RNA (254 nucleotides) under uncultured bacterium. RNAcentral's name for it is "partial 16S ribosomal RNA". It matches the Rfam family "Bacterial small subunit ribosomal RNA", at positions 524 to 776 of the family's 1533-position model. The record is from RNAcentral.